This 459-nucleotide ribosomal RNA is filed under the name uncultured bacterium. Its description in RNAcentral is "partial 16S ribosomal RNA". It matches the Rfam family "Bacterial small subunit ribosomal RNA", at positions 338 to 795 of the family's 1533-position model. The record is from RNAcentral.
CCUACGGGAGGCAGCAGUGAGGAAUAUUGGUCAAUGGGCGCAAGCCUGAACCAGCCAAGUAGCGUGAGGGAUGACUGCCCUACGGGUUGUAAACUGCUUUUAUAAAGGAAUAAAGUGAGGCACGUGUGCCUUUUUGUAGGUACUUUAUGAAUAAGGAUCGGCUAACUCCGUGCCAGCAGCCGCGGUAAUACGGAAGUUCCGAGCGUUAUCCGGAUUUAUUGGGUUUAAAGGGAGCGUAGGCGGGCUUUAAAGUCAGCUGGAAAAUCGCGCGGCUCAACCGGGAAUUGCAGUUGAAACUGGAGGCCUUGAGUGAACACAGGGAUGCUGGAAUUCAUGGUGUAGCGGUGAAAUGCUUAGAUAUCAUGAAGAACCCCGAGCGCGAAGGCAAGUGUCCGGGGUGCGACUGACGCUGAGGCUCGAAAGUGCGGGUAUCAAACAGGAUUAGAUACCCUAGUAGUC